AAUAGAUACCCCGGUAGUCCACGCCGUAAACGAUGUCGACUUGGAGGUUGUUCCCUUGAGGAGUGGCUUCCGGAGCUAACGCGUUAAGUCGACCGCCUGGGGAGUACGGCCGCAAGGUUAAAACUCAAAUGAAUUGACGGGGGCCCGCACAAGCGGUGGAGCAUGUGGUUUAAUUCGAUGCAACGCGAAGAACCUUACCUACUCUUGACAUCCAGAGAACUUAGCAGAGAUGCUUUGGUGCCUUCGGGAACUCUGAGACAGGUGCUGCAUGGCUGUCGUCAGCUCGUGUUGUGAAAUGUUGGGUUAAGUCCCGCAACGAGCGCAACCCUUAUCCCUUUGUUGCCAGCGGUUCGGCCGGGAACUCAAAGGAGACUGCCAGUGAUAAACUGGAGGAAGGUGGGGAUGACGUCAAGUCAUCAUGGCCCUUACGAGUAGGGCUACACACGUGCUACAAUGGCGUAUACAAAGAGAAGCGACCUCGCGAGAGCAAGCGGACCUCAUAAAGUACGUCGUAGUCCGGAUUGGAGU
Molecule: ribosomal RNA, 528 nt
Filed under: uncultured bacterium
Lineage: Bacteria
Description: bacterial SSU rRNA
Rfam family: Bacterial small subunit ribosomal RNA
Source: RNAcentral